Molecule: ribosomal RNA, 119 nt
Filed under: Acanthamoeba castellanii str. Neff
Lineage: Eukaryota; Discosea; Longamoebia; Acanthamoebidae
Source: RNAcentral
GGAUACAGCCAUACUGCGCAGAAAGCACCGCUUCCCAUCCGAACAGCGAAGUUAAGCUGAGCCAGGCGAUGUUAGUACUGGGGUGGGCGACCACCCGGGAAUCCACCGUGCCGUAUCCU